GGCGGGGACAGCAAGGACCUCUGCUCGAGGUGCAGGCGCGAGAGCCUAGCUGAAGCGGGGGGAACGGGCGCCGCGUGCGCACCCGCCACCUGGCUCAGCGCCGUGGGACCACACCCCGCAGCCCGGCGGUCCAGGUCAUCACCAGCAGUGACCAGUCCCGUGGCUAGCGUCUUCCCCUGAUGCGAUGUGGAACAAAUGGCACUCGACCUCUGUAGUUUUCCUCCGAAAACUCGUAACCCCGGUCUAAUCCUGAGAAGAACGCCCGACAAGUCCCGAUGGGGAGAGAUUCUGCAAAAUCCAUGAGCAGUGCCCUCAAAGCUGUCAAGGUCAUCAAGACCAAGGAAGGCUGCCGCUGGUGUGGCUCAGUGUUUGAGCAUCCACCUAUGAACCAGGAGGUCAGGGUUCAGCUCUCGGCCAGGGCCCAUGCGGGGGUUGAGGGCUCGGUUCCCAGAAGGGUGUGUGCAGGAGGAAGCGAAUCAAUGAUCUCUUUCAUCACUGGUGUUUCUAUCCCUCUCUCUUCCUCUCUGAAAUCAAUAAAAUAAGGAAAGUCUGAGCAAGCGUCACAGCCAAGAAGAGCCUAAUGAGGCAUGACAACUAAAUGUAACCUGGGAUCGCCCUGGCUGGUUUGGCUCCGCGGAUAGAGCCUCAGCCUGCAGACUGAAGGGUCCCAGGCACUGGUCCAGGGCACUUUCCAGGCUUGCAGGCUCGAUCCCCAGUAGGGGGCGUGCAGGAGGCAGCCAAUCAAUGAUUCUCAUCACUGAUGUUUCUUCUCUCUUCUCUGAAAUCAAUUAAAAAAUAUAUAUAUUUUUUAAGUGUG
Long non-coding RNA from Myotis myotis, 817 nucleotides. RefSeq lists it as uncharacterized. Lineage: Eukaryota; Metazoa; Chordata; Mammalia; Chiroptera; Vespertilionidae. The record is from RefSeq and is a predicted model, not a curated record. The transcript is spliced from 2 exons.